Molecule: non-coding RNA, 804 nt
Organism: Arabidopsis thaliana (thale cress)
Lineage: Eukaryota; Viridiplantae; Streptophyta; Magnoliopsida; Brassicales; Brassicaceae
Source: RefSeq
GAUGAGAGCCAAGGUCAGUUUUUUAUCUACAACUUUAGCUAUGCUUCUGUAGGUUUUAUCAAAAAUGUUGUGUGUUGAUCUUUAAGUAUAUUGGGAAUUUUGUGAAUUGCUGUUUAUAGAAUCAGUCGAGUGAGAUUGAAACCUUGGUUUAGUGUAGCACGACCUGUAGGAUAUUGAAAUUUAUUGAUUAGGAUUGUGAUUUCUACUCAUGGUUUUGCUCUUGCCGAAAGAGAAUGUUGGGAUUUUCAUCAAAAGUUCGGUUAUUGUUAAAUUUGGGAUUUGAUAUAAGAGCUCUGUUUUCUGGAAGAUUUGGUAUGAAAUGAGAUACUCUGGUUUGUAACAGUUGAGUUUUAUAUCUCACAAUGUUGGUCUCUCCUAAUAUUGAUCAUAUCAUUUUAUGUGUGAUUUGUACUUGAUGGAAGAGAAUGUUGGGAUUUUAAUCAAGUUUUGGGUUAUUGUUGAAUUUACGAUUUCAAUUUCACUAUCUUGAUCUCUCCUACUAUGUAAAUUUUAUGGUUGAUCAUUGCCUCUUUUUUUUUUUUUUUUGGGUGAGUAGAAGCCAAUUCUGAUCCAUACAAUAUGAUCCUAGUUUGGGUUUAGUGAAUGGUUUUUGUUUUUCUUUUGCAGUGGAAGAAGAAGCGUAUGAGGAGGCUUAAGAGGAAGAGACGAAAGAUGAGACAGCGUUCUAAGUAAAUUUGCCUUUGAAGACAAUGCGACUCUGUUUCUUGCUUCUCUCCCUUUCUCUCUUGCAAACAUUGUUCUUACUAUAAGCUUCCUUUUAUGUUUCAGACUUGUUUAAGAUUU